GACGAACGCUGGCGGCGUGCUUAACACAUGCAAGUCGAACGGUAAGGCCCUUCGGGGGACACGAGUGGCGAACGGGUGAGUAACACGUGGGUGAUCUGCCCUGCAUUUCGGGAUAAGCCUGGGAAACUGGGUCUAAUACCGGAUAGGACUCCUGGCUUCAUGGUUUGGGGUGGAAAGCUUUUGUGGUGUGGGAUGGGCCCGCGGCCUAUCAGCUUGUUGGUGGGGUAAUGGCCUACCAAGGCGACGACGGGUAGCCGGCCUGAGAGGGUGACCGGUCACACUGGGACUGAGAUACGGCCCAGACUCCUACGGGAGGCAGCAGUGGGGAAUAUUGCACAAUGGGCGCAAGCCUGAUGCAGCGACGCCGCGUGAGGGAUGACGGCCUUCGGGUUGUAAACCUCUUUCAGCUAUGACGAAGCGCAAGUGACGGUAGUAGCAGAAGAAGGACCGGCCAACUACGCGCCAGCAGCCGCCGCCG
RNAcentral lists this ribosomal RNA (478 nucleotides) under uncultured bacterium. Its description in RNAcentral is "partial 16S ribosomal RNA". It matches the Rfam family "Bacterial small subunit ribosomal RNA", at positions 28 to 523 of the family's 1533-position model. The record is from RNAcentral.